AGCUUACCAGAAAGGGACGGCUAACUACGUGCCAGCAGCCGCGGUAAUACGUAGGUCCCGAGCGUUGUCCGGAUUUAUUGGCCGUAAAGCGAGCGCAGGCGGUUAGAUAAGUCUGAAGUUAAAGGCUGUGGCUUAACCAUAGUACGCUUUGGAAACUGUUUAACUUGAGUGCAAGAGGGGAGAGUGGAAUUCCAUGUGUAGCGGUGAAAUGCGUAGAUAUAUGGAGGAACACCGGUGGCGAAAGCGGCUCUCUGGCUUGUAACUGACGCUGAGGCUCGAAAGCGUGGGGAGCAAACAGGAUUAGAUACCCUGGUAGUCCACGUGUCGACGCGGCCG
RNAcentral lists this ribosomal RNA (336 nucleotides) under uncultured bacterium. RNAcentral describes it as "bacterial SSU rRNA". It matches the Rfam family "Bacterial small subunit ribosomal RNA", at positions 477 to 814 of the family's 1533-position model. The record is from RNAcentral.